This 90-nucleotide transfer RNA is filed under the name Gemmatimonadota bacterium. Its description in RNAcentral is "Gemmatimonadetes bacterium tRNA-Ser". It matches the Rfam family "tRNA". Rfam says of the family: Transfer RNA (tRNA) molecules are approximately 80 nucleotides in length. Their secondary structure includes four short double-helical elements and three loops (D, anti-codon, and T loops). Further hydrogen bonds mediate the characteristic L-shaped molecular structure. tRNAs have two regions of fundamental functional importance: the anti-codon, which is responsible for specific mRNA codon recognition, and the 3' end, to which the tRNAs corresponding amino acid is attached (by aminoacyl-tRNA synthetases). tRNAs cope with the degeneracy of the genetic code in two manners: having more than one tRNA (with a specific anti-codon) for a particular amino acid; and 'wobble' base-pairing, i.e. permitting non-standard base-pairing at the 3rd anti-codon position. Lineage: Bacteria; Pseudomonadati; Gemmatimonadota. The record is from RNAcentral.
GGUGGGAUGGCAGAGUGGUUUAUUGCGGCGGUCUUGAAAACCGUUGUCGGUGAGAGCCGACCGUAGGUUCGAAUCCUACUCCCACCGCCA